ACAGUCAUAUCACAUUGAAACACUAGUUUUCAUCCGAUCACGGAAGUCAUGCAACGUUGUGCCUGGUCAGUACCUAGAUAGGUAACCUCUCGGGAAUAUCAGUUGCUGGAA
Molecule: non-coding RNA, 111 nt
Organism: Acanthosepion pharaonis
Lineage: Eukaryota; Metazoa; Mollusca; Cephalopoda; Sepiida; Sepiidae
Source: the annotation of a GenBank genome assembly